Nothobranchius furzeri (turquoise killifish) is the source of this 2342-nucleotide non-coding RNA. Lineage: Eukaryota; Metazoa; Chordata; Actinopteri; Cyprinodontiformes; Nothobranchiidae. The record is from RefSeq and is a predicted model, not a curated record.
CACUGCUAAACGAGAAAGAAGAAAAAUAAAUCAAAUGCCUGGACAAUAACCACAGAAAACACAAAAAUGUUGUUGAUCCAUCAGAAAGUGAAACCCAUUCCUCAUCCAGCACAGUUUCUCUUUAUCAUCUGCUCUGUAUGUGUCUGUUUACACGCCUGCCUCUCGUCUCUGCAUGCCUCUCCAAAAGGACCCAACUCUCUCCAAGUGCACAGCAGCAGCUUUCAAUCAUGACAGAAUAACAAAGAGGAUAAAUUACAAGGCCAUGCUUGGUUUCCUCUGGUUACCGCAGUCCGUGUGGUUGGAGCGUUUUGGGGCUGACGGGGCACUGGGUAUAUUUGGUCCGGUGAGAGGCUGCCCAGACGCAAAACUCCAACCGCGAGUGUAAAUACGCUUUUAGCUUAUUUACUUAUUUACUUUUAGCUUAUUUUAGCUUAUAGCUUUUCUUAAUUCGGAUAGCUCAGCAGCGGUGUUCAUGCAGAGCUUCUUUUUAUUGUUUUAGACAUUGUGUUUCGUAAGAGGAUCACCUCACCAGGACAUCCCAUAAAGCAGCAACUGUGCUUGACCUUUACAACAAACCCACUCACUGUCAGUGAGGUCUGUCAGUGCAUUGACCCUCUUCUCUGGUGACUCCUGGUUGGACAAGUUGAGAAAAGGAACAAAAAGCAGGAAUCCAGUCAAGCAAAGUCUCCGUCUGAAUAAGGUUUAUCCAUGUGUGCGACCUCCACGCUGCCCACAGGACAACCUGUCACCUUUGUUCUCAGUCCACUGGGUCUUCUGCUCCAAAGAACUCCAACCCUUCAAGCAACCAGAGUCCGACACGCUUCUCGAAGAGGGCAAUGAAGUAGAAUGUUGUAAUCCAGCAACUGUUUUGUCUGCAUCGUUCUGGAGGAAAGAUAAAGCUCCUCCGUGGAGUGGAUUAGCUGCUAAUCGUCUCUGCCAUCCCUCCCUCCUUGACUCCUCCACUCGGCCUCUGCCUUCUUAAGACCUCUUAGUUCUUCAGUGUUCUGGGUGGUGGAGGGGGGCGGGGGGUUCUGCUUUCAUUCAGUUUAACCUAAAAACCAAAGAAAGGAAAGGAGAAAUGUCAGCGGUCCAAACCAAACACAAGACCAAGUAGACAGGUUAAGCAUCCGGAGCGUUGGUCUACUGUCGCCUGAAGAGUCUGGGACAGAAUCUGGUCAGGUUAACCCAACUUUUCUGAGAGUUUGGCUCACGUGUAAUCUUCAGCAUGGUGCACAAACACAGAUGUACAUGCUGACAUUAUGUUUACUGAAGGCCAUGUGGUUUCAUUUUUAUCUAGCCGCUGAUCUUCUUGCCCGUUGAAGAAAUUAAUCCAAGGUGAAAGAGCACCGCUAAUCUCUGAACACGUGACCUGCAGACUGGGAUUAUCGUUGCAGGCUGCAGGAGUUACAACCUGGGGGCUGCUGCCUGGGAAUCCCUGAUGGCGGACAACGUGGACCCCGGUGGAGUGCGAAAAAAAAAAUCAAAGGUGUGGGACCAUUUUUCACGUCGUAAGGUGGAAAACGUAGUCCAGUGUAAAUACUGAAAGUGGAUCUAGCCUACCACAACACCACAUCCUCCAAGCUGCAGCACCUGACCAGGAAACAUCCACCUGUAAAUGUCACUUCUGCAAGCGGACUCAGAGCCUCUACAAGAUAAUGCAUUUUAGCCUGUUUUUCUAUAUAUUCUGCUGACACUGUGCGACUUUUUCGUUUGUAGCACUCACUUUCAGCUCACACCGUACGUCUGGUAGCAACACGUCGGACUUCAAAUGUGCUAAAAAUAGCAGUUUUUACAACAUGUUGGACUUUUUACUGUGUUGUUAUUGAUGUCCGUUGUCCCUCAGGAUCGCUGCAGGAGGACACGGGUAUUUAUGAGUGGCGGAGGAAAACGAUAGAAAGUAAAUAAAUAUUUUGUGAUCAGUAUAAUUUGACUUAACCACAGCAAACAUGCUUUCGACAAUCCUUGUUGGUGUGAGACAAAAAAAAGUGUAGAAAUUCAAACGGACGUGUGUUAAUAGGGAAACAGCUGGCGAGCCAUGUUUGCGCAUGCGCCGUGAGCGGUUCUGGUGCUGUUUGGGCCGCAGCCGCUCGCAUUUGUUAACUGUGAAGUAACGUUGAAGUUCUGAAGUUUUGAAAACUAAUUUUGAAUAAAACUUGAAGAAGAACAACUGGCAAUUGCUUUCUCAUUUCAAGAGGUCUUUCAUAUUUUAUAACAUGCUGUUUGAUAUAAGGGUUUAAAAACGCAAAAGAGUAAUUUAUUAGAGUACUCGAUUAAUCGAUAAAAGAUUCGAUAGAGUACUCAAUUACAAAACUAUUCGAUAGCUGCAGCCCUAGUAAGGUCCU